CUACGGGGGGCAGCAGGCGAGAAAACUUUGCAAUGUGCGAAAGCACGACAAGGUUAAUCCGAGUGGUUUGUGCUAAACGAACCUUUUGACAGUCCUAGAAACACUGUUGAAUAAGGGGUGGGCAAGUUCUGGUGUCAGCGGCCGCGGUAAAACCAGCACCUCAAGUGGUCAGGAUGAUUAUUGGGCCUAAAGCAUCCGUAGCCGGCUCUGUAAGUUUUCGGUUAAAUCUGUCCGCUCAACGUACAGGCUGCCGGGAAUACUGCAGAGCUAGGGAGUGGGAGAGGUAGACGGUACUCGGUAGGAAGGGGUAAAAUCCUUUGAUCUAUUGAUGACCACCUGUGGCGAAGGCGGUCUACCAGAACACGUCCGACGGUGAGGGAUGAAAGCUGGGGGAGCAAACCGGAUUAGAUACCCCGGUAGUC
RNAcentral lists this ribosomal RNA (422 nucleotides) under uncultured archaeon. Its description in RNAcentral is "partial 16S ribosomal RNA". It matches the Rfam family "Archaeal small subunit ribosomal RNA", at positions 323 to 746 of the family's 1478-position model. The record is from RNAcentral.